This is a transfer RNA of 73 nucleotides. It matches the Rfam family "tRNA". Rfam says of the family: Transfer RNA (tRNA) molecules are approximately 80 nucleotides in length. Their secondary structure includes four short double-helical elements and three loops (D, anti-codon, and T loops).
GCUCCCAUGGCGAAGUUGGUAUCGCGUCGCUCUGAUAAGGCGAAGGUCUUCGGUUCGAGCCCGAAUGAGAGCA